GCCCCUGGAGGGCCUAGGGGAGGAGCCUGCCUGGCUGGAACUGGGAGGGCUCUUGCUCAAACACAAAGCAGCCAGAGGAGGUUCCAGGCGCCUGCUGGCAGCUCUGAACCGGCUUCUUUCUCUUCCUGCCCUCCAGUCUCAGUGGUAAAAACGCCGCCGGACAGAUGGCUAAUGCUGAAGCAAGGAUGGAGGCCCGGAGUCCCACACCUCCCCAGCACCCAACCUCCUACACAACCGUGCAUGUGCGCGUGUGCGUUAUGUUCAUGCCACAGCGGCAUACCUGUAGUGGUCAGAGUACAAGAGGACAAAUUGAUUUUUUGUUUUUUUUUUCCGGACAGGAGCUUGUGUAACACUGACUGGGUUGGAACGCUUGCUUUGUAGACCAGGAUGGCCUUGAACUCACCUGCCUCUUCUUGCCAAAUUCUGGUAUUAAAGGAGCCAGCUUUGUCAGCAUCCCUGACAUCUGAGCUGCCCAGGCUGCACAGGACCAAGGGCUAUCUUCCAAUGGAUGUUGGAAGCCCGGAAGCCCCUUGACUGUUACCAGGCCGGGGUGUGGAGUGAUCCUCACAGGAGCUGCUGGGUUCUCUUGCUCUCUGGGCUUGCUUCAGGAUUUUUUCUUGAGCAGCCAUGGGACCUCACAAAGGAGUAGCACCUGAAUCAGCCUGCAAAGGCAUCUUCCACCAGUCCUAGGACCUGCAGGGGGCAGGGGGUGUUGCAGGCAGAUCUCCGUCUGACCCUGUCAUCUGAGUCACCCCAAUAAAGGUGUCAAGAGCUCUCCAGUGGUCCAGAUGGGACCCAUGCA
Molecule: small RNA, 802 nt
Filed under: Rattus norvegicus (Norway rat)
Lineage: Eukaryota; Metazoa; Chordata; Mammalia; Rodentia; Muridae
Description: uncharacterized LOC102553092
Source: RNAcentral